RNAcentral lists this ribosomal RNA (1385 nucleotides) under Nocardioides sp. RNAcentral's name for it is "bacterial SSU rRNA". It matches the Rfam family "Bacterial small subunit ribosomal RNA", at positions 9 to 1376 of the family's 1533-position model. Lineage: Bacteria; Bacillati; Actinomycetota; Actinomycetes; Propionibacteriales; Nocardioidaceae. The record is from RNAcentral.
GAGUUUGAUGAUGGCUCUGAUUGAACGCUGCUCAAAUGCUUGACACAUGCUAAUCGUACGUUUUUUCAUAUAAUAAAGAUAACACUUUACGUAUGAAAAAAAGUGGUGUACAGGUGAGUAUAUAUAAUUUGUCUGCUUUAGAGUAAGGUAAAAUACCUUAUAAAACCAAAAGAAGAAAUUUGCUCUAAAAUGUUCAUUUAUUUAUAACGAGUAGGUAGUAAUUAAAGUAACUGUUUAAUUAGCCAAGGCUCGUAGUCGAAACUGAGAGGUUGAUCGACCACAUUGGGUCUGAAAAAACCCCAAUAUGUAUAGUACAGCAGUGAGGAAUAUUGGUCAAUGGUCUAACGACUGAACCAGCAACUUGAGAGGGAAGCAAAGAUGAAAAUAAAAAUAUUUUCUAGUAACCCUAAAUGGAACAUGAUAAAUGACAAGUUUUUAAAGUUAAAUGUAACGCUUAAAGCGUGCCAUGUUAAAAAUGGUCUUUAUAUUUAUAGUGUCUUGGCCAAAUCUUGUGCCAGCAGUCGCGGUAAGACAAGAGAGACUAGCGUUUUUCAUCUUUAUUAGGUUUAAAGGGUACCUAGACGGUUUAUUUAGCCUUUAUAAGGAAACAAAUUAAACUAGAGUUAAAUGUGGGAGGUAAAUUUAGUAUUGAAAGAGAAGGGAUGAAAUUUUUUUAUACUUUCGAGACUGAUAAUGGUGAAAACAAUCCUCUAUGUACUAACUGACGUUAAGGGACGAAGGCAUGGUUAUCGAAUAGGAUUAGAUACCCUAAUAGUCCAUGCAGAAAAUGAUGAAUGUCAUAAAUAUUAAGUCUGAUUUAUACUAGUAAAUUAGUUUGAUGUUUAUAAAUGAAAGUGUAAGCAUUCCACCUCAAGAGUACUACGGCAACGUAUAAACUGAAAUCAUUAGACCGUUUCUGAAACCAGUAGUGAAGUAUGUUAUUUAAUUCGAUAACCCUCGAAAAACCUUACCUCAAUUUGAAUUAUAAUGUUAAAACAUUAUAACAAGCGUUGCACGGCUGUCUUCAGUUAAUGUCGUGAGAUCUGGUUAACCCCUUUAAUUAACGCAAGCCCUUUAUUUAUUUAUAAGACAAAAAUAAAUAGUUAAUAUUAUAAUGAUAUAUCUCUUUAGUGUCAUAUAGCGUAUGCUAUAGGCAAACACGAUAAGUGUUAGAGAAUUUUUUAGGGACUAAGACAAGUCAUCAUGACCUUAACUUAAUUGUGGGCUAUAGACGUGCCACAUAAGCCUAAACAAAGGGAAGCAAUAAUGUGAAUUGGAGCUAAUCCCCAAAUUAGGAUAUACGUAGAUUGUAGUCUGAAACUCGACUAUAUGAAAAUGGAAUUACUAGUAAUCGUGAAUCAGCAUGUCACGGUGAAUUUUAUCUC